RNAcentral lists this ribosomal RNA (729 nucleotides) under uncultured archaeon. RNAcentral describes it as "bacterial SSU rRNA". It matches the Rfam family "Archaeal small subunit ribosomal RNA", at positions 1 to 763 of the family's 1478-position model. The record is from RNAcentral.
GCAAAGAUUUUCGGACGCAGCGCUAUACGACUCCUAAGGGGAAGAUAGAAUGCAGGCCUCGAGCAGACGGGACCGGGAUCCGAUUAGCUCAGUAACACGUGGAUAAUCUGCCCUAUGGUGGAGGAUAACCCCGGGAAACUGGGGAUAAUACUCCAUAAGUCAGGAGUACUGGAAUGUCUCCUAACUGAAAGUUGCGGCGCCAUAGGAUGAAUCUGCGGCCGAUUAGGUAUUUGUUGGGGUAACGGCCCAACAAGCCCGUAAUCGUAACUGGUUGUGGGAGCAAGAGCCCGGAGAUGGAUCUCCCCCACUCGAUUCCAGGCCCUACGGGGCGCAUCUUGCGCGAAAACUUUACAAUGCAGGAAACUGUGAUAAGGGAACCCCGAGUGCCCGUAAACGCGGGCUGUCCCGGUGUUUAAAACACAUCGGAAGAAAGGGCCGGGCAAGACCGGUGCCAGCCGCCGCGGUAAUACCGGCGGCUCGAGUGGUGACCACUUUUUAUUGGGCUUAAAGCGUUCGUAGCUUGAUUUUUAAGUCUCCUUGGAAAUCUCACGGCUUACUGGUGAGGCGUCUAAAGAUACUGGGAAUCUAGGGACCGGGAGAAGUUAGAAGGUACUUCAGGGUAAAUUGAAAUUUUGUAUCCUUGAGGACCACGGAUGCGAGGCAUCUUACAGACGCUCGCAGUGAGACGAGCUGGGGGACGACGAUAAUACCGUGUCAGCGUAACUAUGC